GAUGAACGCUGGCGGCGUGCCUAAUACAUGCAAGUAGAACGCUGAAGGAGGAGCUUGCUCUUUCCGGCUGAGUUGCGAACGGGUGAGUAACGCGUAGGUAACCUGCCUGGUAGCGGGGGAUAACUAUUGGAAACGAUAGCUAAUACCGCAUAACAGUAGAUAUUGCAUGAUAUUUGCUUGAAAGGGGCAAUUGCUCCACUACCAGAUGGACCUGCGUUGUAUUAGCUAGUUGGUGCGGUAACGGCUCACCAAGGCGACGAUACAUAGCCGACCUGGGAGGGUGGUCGGCCACACUUGGACUGGGAAACGGCCCAGACUCCCACGGGAGGCAGCAGGAGGGAAACUUUGGACAUGGACGGAAGUCUGACCGAGCAAAGCCGCGUGAGGGGAGAAGGGUUUCGGAUUGGAAAGGUCGGUUUUAAGGGAAGAAAGAGUGUGAGAGUGGAAAGUUCACACUGUGACGGUAUCUGACCAGAAAGGGACGGCUAACUACGUG
This 496-nucleotide ribosomal RNA is filed under the name uncultured bacterium. RNAcentral describes it as "partial 16S ribosomal RNA". It matches the Rfam family "Bacterial small subunit ribosomal RNA", at positions 28 to 507 of the family's 1533-position model. The record is from RNAcentral.